This 45-nucleotide non-coding RNA is filed under the name Schistosoma margrebowiei. Lineage: Eukaryota; Metazoa; Platyhelminthes; Trematoda; Strigeidida; Schistosomatidae. The record is from RNAcentral.
AUCCAGCAAACGAGUCUCAAAUAGGACGAAAUGCGCGUCCUGGAU